AGGAAAGUAGCUCAGUGGGUAGAGCAACUGAUUACAAAUCAGUCGGUCGAGGGUUCGAGUCCCUCCUUUUCAC
Molecule: transfer RNA, 73 nt
Filed under: Candidatus Competibacteraceae bacterium
Lineage: Bacteria; Pseudomonadati; Pseudomonadota; Gammaproteobacteria; Candidatus Competibacteraceae
Description: tRNA-Cys
Rfam family: tRNA
About the family: Transfer RNA (tRNA) molecules are approximately 80 nucleotides in length. Their secondary structure includes four short double-helical elements and three loops (D, anti-codon, and T loops).
Source: RNAcentral